ACAACAAUAAUAAAAUCAGCAAAGAAAUCGACUCGAUUCUGACAUAACAAAAACAACAAGCCAGAUGAGUAGCAAACAGAUUUUUUUGGAGAGGGUGUGCUUUUCCAGGAGUUAACCUGGCGACCAGAGGAAAACAAUAAAACUACCUUGAGGUAGCUGAACUGGUUGAAUCAUCAAGUGACUAUGGCACCACCAGCAUCCAAAAAAAUACGUUUACCUUUGAACCCACCGGGCUCAGAAAAUCUUGUUCGACGAUAGCGGUCACUAAAAACAACAACAGACUGUUUAACAACAAAAACAAAGCAUGCAGCAAUUAUUUGAGGGGAGCUACGGCUCCCCUCAGUGCUUUCUGCUGUCCCUUCUCCCUAUGAGC
RNAcentral lists this small RNA (373 nucleotides) under Pseudomonas taeanensis MS-3. RNAcentral describes it as "Pseudomonas sRNA CrcZ". It matches the Rfam family "Pseudomonas sRNA CrcZ". Lineage: Bacteria; Pseudomonadati; Pseudomonadota; Gammaproteobacteria; Pseudomonadales; Pseudomonadaceae. The record is from Rfam by way of RNAcentral.